UGAACGCUGGCGGCAUGCCUAACACAUGCAAGUCGAACGGAAACAGGACGCUGUGAUCUCUUCGGAGUGAACUUGUCGCUGUCGAGUGGCGGACGGGUGAGUAAUGCAUAGGAAAUUGCCUUGAAGUGGGGGAUAGCCCGGAGAAAUCCGGAUUAAUACCGCAUGCGCUCUACGGAGCAAAGUGGGCCUCUGAUUUAAGCUCAUGCUUUGAGAUAUGCCUAUGUCGGAUUAGCUUGUUGGUGGGGUAAAAGCCUACCAAGGCGACGAUCCGUAGCUGGUUUGAGAGGAUGAUCAGCCACACUGGGACUGAGACACGGCCCAGACUCCUACGGGAGGCAGCAGUGGGGAAUAUUGGACAAUGGGCGCAAGCCUGAUCCAGCAAUGCCGCGUGUGUGAAGAAGGCCUGCGGGUUGUAAAGCACUUUUAUCGGGAAAGAAAUGCCAAGGGUUAAUAACCCAGGGUCUUGACGGUACCCGAAGAAUAAGCACCGGCUAACUCA
RNAcentral lists this ribosomal RNA (499 nucleotides) under uncultured bacterium. RNAcentral describes it as "bacterial SSU rRNA". It matches the Rfam family "Bacterial small subunit ribosomal RNA", at positions 30 to 504 of the family's 1533-position model. The record is from RNAcentral.